GAUGAACGCUGGCGGCGUGCCUAAUACAUGCAAGUCGAGCGAACAGACGAGGAGCUUGCUCCUCUGACGUUAGCGGCUGACGGGUGAGUAACACGUGGAUAACCUACCUAUAAGACUGGGAUAACUUCGGGAAACCGGAGCUAAUACCGGAUAAUAUAUUGAACCGCAUGGUUCAAUAGUGAAAGACGGUUUUGCUGUCACUUAUAGAUGGAUCCGCGCCGCAUUAGCUAGUUGGUAAGGUAACGGCUUACCAAGGCGACGAUGCGUAGCCGACCUGAGAGGGUGAUCGGCCACUCUGGAACUGAGACACGGUCCAGACUCCUACGGGAGGCAGCAGUAGGGAAUCUUCCGCAAUGGGCGAAAGCCUGACGGAGCAACGCCGCGUGAGUGAUGAAGGUCUUCGGAUCGUAUAACUCUGUUAUUAGGGAAGAACAAAUGUGUAAGUAACUAUGCACGUCUUGACGGUACCUAAUCAGAAAGCCACGGCUAACUACGUG
Molecule: ribosomal RNA, 497 nt
Filed under: uncultured bacterium
Lineage: Bacteria
Description: partial 16S ribosomal RNA
Rfam family: Bacterial small subunit ribosomal RNA
Source: RNAcentral